RNAcentral lists this ribosomal RNA (497 nucleotides) under uncultured bacterium. RNAcentral describes it as "partial 16S ribosomal RNA". It matches the Rfam family "Bacterial small subunit ribosomal RNA", at positions 28 to 507 of the family's 1533-position model. The record is from RNAcentral.
GAUGAACGCUGGCGGCGUGCCUAAUACAUGCAAGUCGAGCGAACGGACGAGAAGCUUGCUUCUCUGAUGUUAGCGGCGGACGGGUGAGUAACACGUGGAUAACCUACCUAUAAGACUGGGAUAACUUCGGGGAACCGGAGCUAAUACCGGAUAAUAUUUUGAACCGCAUGGUUCAAAAGUGAAAGACGGUCUUGCUGUCACUUAUAGAUGGAUCCGCGCUGCAUUAGCUAGUUGGUAAGGUAACGGCUUACCAAGGCAACGAUGCAUAGCCGACCUGAGAGGGUGAUCGGCCACACUGGAACUGAGACACGGUCCAGACUCCUACGGGAGGCAGCAGUAGGGAAUCUUCCGCAAAGGGCGAAAGCCUGACGGAGCAACGCCGCGUGAGUGAUGAAGGUCUUCGGAUCGUAAAACUCUGUUAUUAGGGAAGAACAUAUGUGUAAGUAACUGUGCACAUCUUGACGGUACCUAAUCAGAAAGCCACGGCUAACUACGUG